RNAcentral lists this ribosomal RNA (775 nucleotides) under uncultured Neocallimastigales. RNAcentral describes it as "partial large subunit ribosomal RNA". It matches the Rfam family "Eukaryotic large subunit ribosomal RNA", at positions 23 to 646 of the family's 3401-position model. Lineage: Eukaryota; Fungi; Neocallimastigomycota; Neocallimastigomycetes; Neocallimastigales. The record is from RNAcentral.
AGAGAGAGACAUGCGCGCAUAUCAAUAAGCGGAGGAAAAGAAACUAACUAGGAUUCCCUCAGUAACGGCGAGUGAAGCGGGAAGAGCUCAAAUUUGAAAUCUUCAAGGUUCUACCUUGACGAAUUGUAGUUUAAAGAAGUGUUUUCUGUUGGAGUUUUGGUAAAAGUUCUUUGGAAUAGGACAUCAUAGAGGGUGAGAAUCCCGUAUUUGACCAUUAUUUCCAGCUUUGUGAUACACUUUCAAAGAGUCGGAUUGUUUGGGAAUGCAGUCCAAAAUGGGUGGUAAAUUUCAUCUAAAGCUAAAUACUUGGCGAGAGACCGAUAGCGAACAAGUACCGUGAGGGAAAGAUGAAAAGAACUUUGAAAAGAGAGUUAAACAGUACGUGAAAUUGUCAAAAGGGAAGCGUUUGACACCAGUGUUGUUUUCUCGAAAAUCAAUUAAAAAGGGCAGGAUUUUGUGUUGUAUUGACUUUAUCAGCUUUCUGCACUCCUUUCUUGUCUUUUUUAAUGCACUUUUCGUUUAACAAGUCAACAUCAAUUUCUUUUGUUGUAAAAGGGUCAUUGGAAGGUGGCUUUCUUUUCGGAGAAAGUGUUUAUAGCCUUUGGCCUCUGCAAUCGGAGAGAUUGAGGUCUGCAGCGUAGAUCCUUCGGGGUUAGAUACAUUUGUGCUAAGUUAUAGCCUUUCAUAGACAACUUGUUGACUAUGAUCAGUCAUGUAGCUUACUCGCUUAUGCUAUUUUACCUACGCUUAGGAUGUUGAUGUGAUACUGCGAGCA